GAUGAACGCUGGCGGUAUGCUUAUCACAUGCAAGUCGAACGGACUCUUCGGAGUUAGUGGCGGACGGGUGAGUAACGCGUGAGAAUCUGGCUUUGGGUUCGGGACAACCACUGGAAACGGUGGCUAAUACCGGAUGUGCCGAGAGGUAAAAGAGAAAUUGCCUGAAGAUGAGCUCGCGUCUGAUUAGCUAGUUGGUGAGGUAAAGGCUCACCAAGGCAGCGAUCAGUAGCUGGUCUGAGAGGAUGACCAGCCACACUGGGACUGAGACACGGCCCAGACUCCUACGGGAGGCAGCAGUGGGGAAUUUUCCGCAAUGGGCGAAAGCCUGGCGGAGCAAUACCGCGUGAGGGAAGAAGGCUCUUGGGUUGUAAACCUCUUUUCUUAGGGAAGAACAAAAUGACGGUACCUAAGGAAUCAGCAUCGGCUAACUCCGUG
This 435-nucleotide ribosomal RNA is filed under the name uncultured bacterium. Its description in RNAcentral is "partial 16S ribosomal RNA". It matches the Rfam family "Bacterial small subunit ribosomal RNA", at positions 28 to 507 of the family's 1533-position model. The record is from RNAcentral.